Molecule: ribosomal RNA, 404 nt
Filed under: Actinomycetes bacterium
Lineage: Bacteria; Bacillati; Actinomycetota; Actinomycetes
Description: Actinobacteria bacterium partial 16S ribosomal RNA
Rfam family: Bacterial small subunit ribosomal RNA
Source: RNAcentral
UGGGGAAUAUUGGACAAUGGGCGCAAGCCUGAUCCAGCCAUGCCGCGUGAGUGAUGAAGGCCCUAGGGUUGUAAAGCUCUUUCACCGGUGAAGAUAAUGACGGUAACCGGAGAAGAAGCUCCGGCUAACUUCGUGCCAGCAGCCGCGGUAAUACGAAGGGGGCUAGCGUUGUUCGGAUUUACUGGGCGUAAAGCGCACGUAGGCGGACUUUUAAGUCAGGGGUGAAAUCCCGGGGCUCAACCCCGGAACUGCCUUUGAUACUGGAAGUCUUGAGUAUGGUAGAGGUGGGUGGAAUUCCGAGUGUAGAGGUGAAAUUCGUAGAUAUUCGGAGGAACACCAGUGGCGAAGGCGGCUCACUGGACCAUUACUGACGCUGAGGUGCGAAAGCGUGGGGAGCAAACAGG